GAGCGGCGGACGGGUGAGUAACACGUGGACAAUCUGCCCCCCGGCCCGGGAUAGCCCAGGGAAACCUGGAUUAAUACCGGAUGAGACGGGACCCGCGAUGGCGGGAUCCGGGAAAGGCGCUGCGGCGCCGCCGGGGGGAGUGAGUCUGCGUCCCAUUAGCUAGACGGCGGGGUAACGGGCCCACCGUGGCGACGAUGGGUAGCCGGCCUGAGAGGGUGGACGGCCACAUUGGAACUGAGACACGGUCCAGACUCCUACGGGAGGCAGCAGCUAAGAAUCUUCCGCAAUGGGCGAAAGCCUGACGGAGCGAACCGCCGCGUGAACGAAGAAGGCCGUGAGGUUGUAAAGUUCUUUUCGGGUAGGGGGGAACGAACCGUGGCAGGGAAUGGCCGCGGGAUGACGUGAAUCCCGGAAUAAGCCCCGGCCUAACUACGUGCCAGCCGCAGC
RNAcentral lists this ribosomal RNA (447 nucleotides) under uncultured bacterium. Its description in RNAcentral is "bacterial SSU rRNA". It matches the Rfam family "Bacterial small subunit ribosomal RNA", at positions 93 to 518 of the family's 1533-position model. The record is from RNAcentral.